AUACGGAGGAUCCGAGCGUUAUCCGGAUUUAUUGGGUUUAAAGGGUGCGCAGGCGGGAGAUUAAGUCGGCGGUGAAAUUUUUCAGCUCAACUGUAAAAGGGGCUUCGAAACUGGUUUCCUUGAGUGUAGAUGAAGUAGGCGGAAUUUGUGGUGUAGCGGUGAAAUGCAUAGAUAUCACGAGGAAAUCCGAUUGCGCAGGCAGCUUACUAAACUACUACUGACGCUCAGGCACAAAGGCGUGGGGAUCAAACAGGAUUAGAUACCCUGGUAGUCCACGCAGUAAACGAUGAUUACUAGCUGUUUGCGAUACAAUGUAAGCGGCUGAGCGAAAGCGUUAAGUAAUCCACCUGGGGAGUACGUUCGCAAGAAUGAAACUCAAAUGAAUAGACGGGG
Molecule: ribosomal RNA, 393 nt
Filed under: uncultured bacterium
Lineage: Bacteria
Description: partial 16S ribosomal RNA
Rfam family: Bacterial small subunit ribosomal RNA
Source: RNAcentral